RNAcentral lists this ribosomal RNA (1540 nucleotides) under Salmonella enterica subsp. enterica serovar Newport. Its description in RNAcentral is "bacterial SSU rRNA". It matches the Rfam family "Bacterial small subunit ribosomal RNA". RNAcentral also lists the same sequence under 1 other name. Lineage: Bacteria; Pseudomonadati; Pseudomonadota; Gammaproteobacteria; Enterobacterales; Enterobacteriaceae. The record is from RNAcentral.
AAAUUGAAGAGUUUGAUCAUGGCUCAGAUUGAACGCUGGCGGCAGGCCUAACACAUGCAAGUCGAACGGUAACAGGAAGCAGCUUGCUGCUUCGCUGACGAGUGGCGGACGGGUGAGUAAUGUCUGGGAAACUGCCUGAUGGAGGGGGAUAACUACUGGAAACGGUGGCUAAUACCGCAUAACGUCGCAAGACCAAAGAGGGGGACCUUCGGGCCUCUUGCCAUCAGAUGUGCCCAGAUGGGAUUAGCUAGUUGGUGAGGUAACGGCUCACCAAGGCGACGAUCCCUAGCUGGUCUGAGAGGAUGACCAGCCACACUGGAACUGAGACACGGUCCAGACUCCUACGGGAGGCAGCAGUGGGGAAUAUUGCACAAUGGGCGCAAGCCUGAUGCAGCCAUGCCGCGUGUAUGAAGAAGGCCUUCGGGUUGUAAAGUACUUUCAGCGGGGAGGAAGGUGUUGUGGUUAAUAACCACAGCAAUUGACGUUACCCGCAGAAGAAGCACCGGCUAACUCCGUGCCAGCAGCCGCGGUAAUACGGAGGGUGCAAGCGUUAAUCGGAAUUACUGGGCGUAAAGCGCACGCAGGCGGUCUGUCAAGUCGGAUGUGAAAUCCCCGGGCUCAACCUGGGAACUGCAUUCGAAACUGGCAGGCUUGAGUCUUGUAGAGGGGGUAGAAUUCCAGGUGUAGCGGUGAAAUGCGUAGAGAUCUGGAGGAAUACCGGUGGCGAAGGCGGCCCCCUGGACAAAGACUGACGCUCAGGUGCGAAAGCGUGGGGAGCAAACAGGAUUAGAUACCCUGGUAGUCCACGCCGUAAACGAUGUCUACUUGGAGGUUGUGCCCUUGAGGCGUGGCUUCCGGAGCUAACGCGUUAAGUAGACCGCCUGGGGAGUACGGCCGCAAGGUUAAAACUCAAAUGAAUUGACGGGGCCCGCACAAGCGGUGGAGCAUGUGGUUUAAUUCGAUGCAACGCGAAGAACCUUACCUGGUCUUGACAUCCACAGAACUUUCCAGAGAUGGAUUGGUGCCUUCGGGAACUGUGAGACAGGUGCUGCAUGGCUGUCGUCAGCUCGUGUUGUGAAAUGUUGGGUUAAGUCCCGCAACGAGCGCAACCCUUAUCCUUUGUUGCCAGCGGUUAGGCCGGGAACUCAAAGGAGACUGCCAGUGAUAAACUGGAGGAAGGUGGGGAUGACGUCAAGUCAUCAUGGCCCUUACGACCAGGGCUACACACGUGCUACAAUGGCGCAUACAAAGAGAAGCGACCUCGCGAGAGCAAGCGGACCUCAUAAAGUGCGUCGUAGUCCGGAUUGGAGUCUGCAACUCGACUCCAUGAAGUCGGAAUCGCUAGUAAUCGUGGAUCAGAAUGCCACGGUGAAUACGUUCCCGGGCCUUGUACACACCGCCCGUCACACCAUGGGAGUGGGUUGCAAAAGAAGUAGGUAGCUUAACCUUCGGGAGGGCGCUUACCACUUUGUGAUUCAUGACUGGGGUGAAGUCGUAACAAGGUAACCGUAGGGGAACCUGCGGUUGGAUCACCUCCUUA